Molecule: ribosomal RNA, 158 nt
Filed under: Fusarium sacchari
Lineage: Eukaryota; Fungi; Ascomycota; Sordariomycetes; Hypocreales; Nectriaceae
Description: 5.8S ribosomal RNA
Rfam family: 5.8S ribosomal RNA
About the family: 5.8S ribosomal RNA (5.8S rRNA) is a component of the large subunit of the eukaryotic ribosome.
Source: RNAcentral
AAACUGUUAACAACGGAUCUCUUGGUUCUGGCCUCGCUGAAGAACGCACGAAAACACGAUAAGUAAUGUGAAUUGCAGAAUCCAGUGAAUCAUCGAAUCUUUGAACGCACAUUGCGCCCGCCAGUAUUCUGGCGGGCAUGCCUGUUCGAGCGUCAUUU